This is a long non-coding RNA of Cygnus olor (mute swan), 555 nucleotides long. RefSeq lists it as uncharacterized. Lineage: Eukaryota; Metazoa; Chordata; Aves; Anseriformes; Anatidae. The transcript is spliced from 3 exons. The record is from RefSeq and is a predicted model, not a curated record.
GGAGCACAAGGCAAUGCUACUUCCAGCGGGAGCCAGCUGAGAGCUUGUCCUUAAUUUAGGCAGUUUGUUGGCUGCUCCAGAUCUGGAUACGAACCUCUCAGGCCGAAGACCUUUGCCAGGGUUUCAUUGCUUGUUGUUGCAGGGAACCUGCCCGUGGCUCUGGGACCAGGCACAGAGAGCCCAGGGCAGCGCGUGGAAGUGUGCCUGCUGAGCCCGGGGCUGGAUCUGGCCCACCGUUCUUGCUGUCCAUUGCCUUUUGCAAUCCCAAGGCAACUGCAUCUACGUGGUGGGGUCUGCCAGGAGGGACACUCCGCGAAACACCCUUUGGACCCAGUGGCUCUAAAGAACUUGUGAAUUGGAUGAAGUGCUGUGAUUCCCCAGCAGAGCAACAGAGAAGACCUACAGCUUCUUCUUACCAUCUUCCCUGGCAUCUUUCCCUAAAAGACUUUAAAUGUCUUUUUUUUUUUUUGUCUUUUUUUUUUUUUUUUUUUUCCCAGAAGUGGCUUUGGUAACAGUGCAGGAAUGCAAAUAAACAAGUAAAAGUCAGUCUAAUCA